GGCGAGGUAGCUCAGUGGCAGAGCAGGGGACUCAUAAGCCCUUGGUCGUGAGUUCAAAUCUCACCCUCGCCACCA
This 75-nucleotide transfer RNA is filed under the name Chloroflexota bacterium. RNAcentral's name for it is "Chloroflexi bacterium tRNA-Met". It matches the Rfam family "tRNA". From Rfam's summary of the family: Transfer RNA (tRNA) molecules are approximately 80 nucleotides in length. Their secondary structure includes four short double-helical elements and three loops (D, anti-codon, and T loops). Lineage: Bacteria; Bacillati; Chloroflexota. The record is from RNAcentral.